RNAcentral lists this ribosomal RNA (465 nucleotides) under Vreelandella stevensii. RNAcentral describes it as "partial 16S ribosomal RNA". It matches the Rfam family "Bacterial small subunit ribosomal RNA", at positions 338 to 795 of the family's 1533-position model. Lineage: Bacteria; Pseudomonadati; Pseudomonadota; Gammaproteobacteria; Oceanospirillales; Halomonadaceae. The record is from RNAcentral.
CCUACGGGUGGCAGCAGUGGGGAAUAUUGGACAAUGGGCGAAAGCCUGAUCCAGCCAUGCCGCGUGUGUGAAGAAGGCCUUCGGGUUGUAAAGCACUUUCAGUGGGGAAGAAAGCCUUGGGGCUAAUACCCUCGAGGAAGGACAUCACUCACAGAAGAAGCACCGGCUAACUCCGUGCCAGCAGCCGCGGUAAUACGGAGGGUGCGAGCGUUAAUCGGAAUUACUGGGCGUAAAGCGCGCGUAGGCGGUCUGAUAAGCCGGUUGUGAAAGCCCCGGGCUCAACCUGGGAACGGCAUCCGGAACUGUCAGGCUAGAGGGCAGGAGAGGAAGGUAGAAUUCCCGGUGUAGCGGUGAAAUGCGUAGAGAUCGGGAGGAAUACCAGUGGCGAGGGCGGCCUUCUGGACUGACACUGACGCUGAGGUGCGAAAGCGUGGGUAGCAAACAGGAUUAGAUACCCGAGUAGUC